This 253-nucleotide ribosomal RNA is filed under the name uncultured bacterium. RNAcentral describes it as "partial 16S ribosomal RNA". It matches the Rfam family "Bacterial small subunit ribosomal RNA", at positions 524 to 776 of the family's 1533-position model. The record is from RNAcentral.
UACGGAGGAUGCAAGCGUUAUCCGGAAUUAUUGGGCGUAAAGCGUCCGCAGAUGGUUUUACCAGUCUAUUGUCAAAGCGCGGGGCUUAACCUCGUACAGGCAGUGGAAACUGUGAGACUAGAGUUCGGUAGGGGUCAGGGGAAUUCCCAGUGUAGCGGUGAAAUGCGUAGAUAUUGGGAAGAACACCAGCGGCGAAAGCGCCUGACUGGGCCUGAACUGACAUUCAUGGACGAAAGCUAGGGGAGCGAAAGGG